RNAcentral lists this ribosomal RNA (924 nucleotides) under uncultured bacterium. RNAcentral describes it as "bacterial SSU rRNA". It matches the Rfam family "Bacterial small subunit ribosomal RNA", at positions 547 to 1472 of the family's 1533-position model. The record is from RNAcentral.
GGAUUUAUUGGGCGUAAAGCGAGCGCAGGCGUUCUUUAAGUCUGAUGUGAAAGCCCCUGGCUCAACCAGGGAGGGUCAUUGGAAACUGGAGAACUUGAGUGCAGAAGAGGAAAGUGGAAUUCCAUGUGUAGCGGUGAAAUGUGUAGAUAUAUGGAGGAACACCAGUGGCGAAGGCGACUUUCUGGUCUGUAACUGACGCUGAGGCUCGAAAGCAUGGGGAGCAAACAGGAUUAGAUACCCUGGUAGUCCAUGCCGUAAACGAUGAGUGCUAAGUGUUGGAGGGUUUCCGCCCUUCAGUGCUGCAGCUAACGCAUUAAGCACUCCGCCUGGGGAGUACGACCGCAAGGUUGAAACUCAAAGGAAUUGACGGGGGCCCGCACAAGCGGUGGAGCAUGUGGUUUAAUUCGAAGCAACGCGAAGAACCUUACCAGGUCUUGACAUCCUUUGACCACUCUAGAGAUAGAGCUUUCCCUUCGGGGACAAAGUGACAGGUGGUGCAUGGUUGUCGUCAGCUCGUGUCGUGAGAUGUUGGGUUAAGUCCCGCAACGAGCGCAACCCUUAUUAUUAGUUGCCAGCAUUCAGUUGGGCACUCUAGUGAGACUGCCGGUGAUAAACCGGAGGAAGGUGGGGAUGACGUCAAAUCAUCAUGCCCCUUAUGACCUGGGCUACACACGUGCUACAAUGGAUGGUACAACGAGUCGCAAAACCGCGAGGUUAAGCUAAUCUCUUAAAGCCAUUCUCAGUUCGGAUUGUAGGCUGCAAUUCGCCUACAUGAAGCCGGAAUCGCUAGUAAUCGCGGAUCAGAACGCCGCGGUGAAUACGUUCCCGGGCCUUGUACACACCGCCCGUCACACCACGAGAGUUUGUAACACCCAAAGUCGGUGAGGUAACCUUCGGGAGCCAGCCGCCUAAGGUGGGACAGAU